AAUGAACGCUGGCGGUAGGCCUAACACAUGCGAGUCGAACGGCAGCACAGUAAGAGCUUGCUCUUACGGGUGGCGAGUGGCGGACGGGUGAGGAAUACAUCGGAAUCUACUUUUUCGUGGGGGAUAACGUAGGGAAACUUACGCUAAUACCGCAUACGACCUACGGGUGAAAGCAGGGGAUCUUCGGACCUUGCGCGAUUGAAUGAGCCGAUGUCGGAUUAGCUAGUUGGCGGGGUAAAGGCCCACCAAGGCGACGAUGCGUAGCUGGUCUGAGAGGAUGAUCAGCCACACUGGAACUGAGACACGGUCCAGACUCCUACGGGAGGCAGCAGUGGGGAAUAUUGGACAAUGGGCGCAAGCCUGAUCCAGCCAUACCGCGUGGGUGAAGAAGGCCUUCGGGUUGUAAAGCCCUUUUGUUGGGAAAGAAAAGCAGCAGGUUAAUACCCCGCUGUUCUGACGGUACCCAAAGAAUAAGCACCGGCUAACUUCGUG
RNAcentral lists this ribosomal RNA (492 nucleotides) under uncultured bacterium. RNAcentral's name for it is "partial 16S ribosomal RNA". It matches the Rfam family "Bacterial small subunit ribosomal RNA", at positions 29 to 507 of the family's 1533-position model. The record is from RNAcentral.